Molecule: ribosomal RNA, 157 nt
Filed under: uncultured Aspergillus
Lineage: Eukaryota; Fungi; Ascomycota; Eurotiomycetes; Eurotiales; Aspergillaceae
Description: 5.8S ribosomal RNA
Rfam family: 5.8S ribosomal RNA
About the family: 5.8S ribosomal RNA (5.8S rRNA) is a component of the large subunit of the eukaryotic ribosome. It is transcribed by RNA polymerase I as part of the 45S precursor that also contains 18S and 28S rRNA. Functionally, it is thought that 5.8S rRNA may be involved in ribosome translocation.
Source: RNAcentral
AAAUCAGUCAAAACUUUCAACAAUGGAUCUCUUGGUUCCGGCAUCGAUGAAGAACGCAGCGAACUGCGAUAAGUAAUGUGAAUUGCAGAAUUCAGUGAAUCAUCGAGUCUUUGAACGCACAUUGCGCCCCCUGGCAUUCCGGGGGGCAUGCCUGUCC